GAUGAACGCUAGCUACAGGCUUAACACAUGCAAGUCGAGGGGUAACGAGAGGAAAGCUUGCUUUCCUUGUCGACGACCGGCGCACGGGUGAGUAACGCGUAUCCAACCUGCCCCCAACUAGGGAAUAACCUUGCGAAAGUAAGACUAAUACCCUAUAAUUUCCUCAGAUGACAUCUGACGAGGAAUAAAGAUUUAUCGGUUGUGGAUGGGGAUGCGUCUGAUUAGCUUGUUGGCGGGGUAACGGCCCACCAAGGCAACGAUCAGUAGGGGUUCUGAGAGGAAGGUCCCCCACAUUGGAACUGAGACACGGUCCAAACUCCUACGGGAGGCAGCAGUGAGGAAUAUUGAUCAAUGGGCGGAAGCCUGAACCAGCCAAGUAGCGUGCAGGAUGACGGCCCUAUGGGUUGUAAACUGCUUUUAUGCAGGAAUAAAGUUAGCCACGUGUGGUUAUUUGUAGGUACUGUAUGAAUAAGGACCGGCUAAUUCCGUGCCAGCAGCCGCCGUAA
RNAcentral lists this ribosomal RNA (506 nucleotides) under uncultured bacterium. RNAcentral describes it as "partial 16S ribosomal RNA". It matches the Rfam family "Bacterial small subunit ribosomal RNA", at positions 28 to 523 of the family's 1533-position model. The record is from RNAcentral.